Molecule: ribosomal RNA, 1343 nt
Filed under: uncultured bacterium
Lineage: Bacteria
Description: 16S ribosomal RNA
Rfam family: Bacterial small subunit ribosomal RNA
Source: RNAcentral
GACGAACGCUGGCGGCGUGCUUAACACAUGCAAGUCGAACGGAAAGGCCCUGCUUUUGUGGGGUGCUCGAGUGGCGAACGGGUGAGUAACACGUGAGUAACCUGCCCUUGACUUUGGGAUAACUUCAGGAAACUGGGGCUAAUACCGGAUAGGAGCUCCUGCUGCAUGGUGGGGGUUGGAAAGUUUCGGCGGUUGGGGAUGGACUCGCGGCUUAUCAGCUUGUUGGUGGGGUAGUGGCUUACCAAGGCUUUGACGGGUAGCCGGCCUGAGAGGGUGACCGGCCACAUUGGGACUGAGAUACGGCCCAGACUCCUACGGGAGGCAGCAGUGGGGAAUAUUGCACAAUGGGCGGAAGCCUGAUGCAGCAACGCCGCGUGCGGGAUGACGGCCUUCGGGUUGUAAACCGCUUUCGCCUGUGACGAAGCGUGAGUGACGGUAAUGGGUAAAGAAGCACCGGCUAACUACGUGCCAGCAGCCGCGGUGAUACGUAGGGUGCGAGCGUUGUCCGGAUUUAUUGGGCGUAAAGGGCUCGUAGGUGGUUGAUCGCGUCGGAAGUGUAAUCUUGGGGCUUAACCCUGAGCGUGCUUUCGAUACGGGUUGACUUGAGGAAGGUAGGGGAGAAUGGAAUUCCUGGUGGAGCGGUGGAAUGCGCAGAUAUCAGGAGGAACACCAGUGGCGAAGGCGGUUCUCUGGGCCUUUCCUGACGCUGAGGAGCGAAAGCGUGGGGAGCGAACAGGCUUAGAUACCCUGGUAGUCCACGCUGUAAACGGUGGGUACUAGGUGUGGGGUCCAUUCCACGGGUUCCGUGCCGUAGCUAACGCUUUAAGUACCCCGCCUGGGGAGUACGGCCGCAAGGCUAAAACUCAAAGGAAUUGACGGGGCCCCGCACAAGCGGCGGAGCAUGCGGAUUAAUUCGAUGCAACGCGUAGAACCUUACCUGGGUUUGACAUGGAUCGGGAGUGCUCAGAGAUGGGUGUGCCUCUUUUGGGGUCGGUUCACAGGUGGUGCAUGGCUGUCGUCAGCUCGUGUCGUGAGAUGUUGGGUUAAGUCCCGCAACGAGCGCAACCCUUGUUCACUGUUGCCAGCACGUUAUGGUGGGGACUCAGUGGAGACCGCCGGGGUCAACUCGGAGGAAGGUGGGGAUGACGUCAAGUCAUCAUGCCCCUUAUGUCCAGGGCUUCACGCAUGCUACAAUGGCUGAUACAGAGAGUGGCGAGCCUGUGAGGGUGAGCGUAUCUCGGAAAGCCGGUCUCAGUUCGGAUUGGGGUCUGCAACUCGACCUCAUGAAGUCGGAGUCGCUAGUAAUCGCAGAUCAGCAACGCUGCGGUGAAUACGUUCCCGGG